AUCACUUUUCACCUUUUGGCUAAGAUCAAGUGUAGUAU
RNAcentral lists this small nuclear RNA (38 nucleotides) under Cervus elaphus hippelaphus. Lineage: Eukaryota; Metazoa; Chordata; Mammalia; Artiodactyla; Cervidae. The record is from RNAcentral.